UUUACCAAAAACAUAGCCCCUAGCAUUAUACAAGUAUUAGAGGUGAUGCCUGCCCAGUGACAUUGUUCAACGGCCGCGGUAUUCUGACCGUGCGAAGGUAGCAUAAUCACUUGUCUUUUAAAUAAAGACUGGAAUGAACGGCUAAACGAGGCUCUAUCUGUCUCUUACAGGAAACCAGUGAAAUUGAUCCCCUCGUGCAAAAGCGAGAAUAAUAACAUAAGACGAGAAGACCCUGUGGAACUUUAAAUUAAAAGCUAACAACUAAUAAACCCACAAACCAUACGGAGCACAUAUCAUGAUUUCACUUAGCCUUAAUUUUCGGUUGGGGUGACCUCGGAGAAAAACGAAACCUCCGAAGACUAAUACCAAGAACAACAGACCAAAGUGCCUCCAGCAAAACGAUCCAAUACAUUUGAUUAAUGAACCAAGCUACCCCAGGGAUAACAGCGCAAUCCCCUCUUAGAGUCCCUAUCAACGAUGGGGGUUUACGACCUCGAUGUUGGAUCAGGACAUCCUAAUGGUGCAGCCGCUAUUAAGGGUUCGUUUGUUCAACGAUUAACAGUCCUACGUGAUCUGAGUUC
RNAcentral lists this ribosomal RNA (581 nucleotides) under Mesoclemmys jurutiensis. Its description in RNAcentral is "Mesoclemmys sp. JCC-2021a partial large subunit ribosomal RNA". It matches the Rfam family "Bacterial large subunit ribosomal RNA", at positions 1803 to 2612 of the family's 2925-position model. The record is from RNAcentral. Lineage: Eukaryota; Metazoa; Chordata; Testudines; Chelidae.